CGGGGUGCACCAGGCGCGAAAACUUUACAAUGCUGGAAACAGCGAUAAGGGGACCUCGAGUGCCAGGUUAUAAAUCUGGCUGUCGUGAUGCCUAAAAAGCAUUGCAUAGCAAGGGCCGGGCAAGACCGGUGCCAGCCGCCGCGGUAACACCGGCGGCUCGAGUGGUAACCGUUAUUAUUGGGUCUAAAGGGUCUGUAGCCGGCCGGAUAAGUCUCUUGGGAAAUCCAGCAGCUCAACUGUUGGGCUUUCAGGAGAUACUGUCUGGCUCGAGGCCGGGAGAGGUGAGAGGUACUUCAGGGGUAGGGGUGAAAUCUUGUAAUCCUUGAAGGACCACCAGUGGCGAAGGCGUCUCACCAGAACGGACCUGACGGCAAGGGACGAAAGCUAGGGGCACGAACCGGAUUAGAUACCCGGGUAGUCCUAGCCGUAAACGAUACUCGCUAGGUGUCGGCCACGGUGCGACCGUUGUCGGUGCCGUAGGGAAGCCGUGAAGCGAGCCACCUGGGAAGUACGGCCGCAAGGCUGAAACUUAAAGGAAUUGGCGGGGGAGCACAAGGGCGAAUGC
Molecule: ribosomal RNA, 565 nt
Filed under: uncultured archaeon
Lineage: Archaea
Description: bacterial SSU rRNA
Rfam family: Archaeal small subunit ribosomal RNA
Source: RNAcentral